Molecule: long non-coding RNA, 943 nt
Organism: Salvia splendens (bonfire salvia)
Lineage: Eukaryota; Viridiplantae; Streptophyta; Magnoliopsida; Lamiales; Lamiaceae
Exons: 4
Source: RefSeq, a predicted model, not a curated record
AUUAAAAAUUCGGUUCGGGUUGUUCGGGUUUUCGGUUCGGUUUUGAGAUCUAAAAAAUUUCGGUUCUCGGUUCGGUUCGGUUUGGUAGGAAAAAAACCCAAAUAAACCGAAACCCGAAUUAUAUUUAAUUAUUCAUAUUAUAUAUAUAUUACUCCUAUUAUUUAAUUAUAACUAAAAUCUAAAAUACAAUUAUACAACUACAGCACAGAAGCCCUAAUUCACUUCGCAGUUCCGCCGCUCCUCUGACCUUCUCUCCCUCAAACCCCUCCGUCGCCGGUUGCCCCUCCGUCGGCCAGCUCCGGCCCGACCCCCCUCCAGCCGAUCUAUCGCCUCUCCAGCUCCUGUCGGCUGUCGCCCUCCAGCUCCUGUCGGCUGUCGCCCUCCAGCUCCUGUCGCGGAGUGUCGCCACAGCUUCGCCGUCGUCUCCACUCUCCACAGCUCCGCCUCCGACUCCAGGGUUAGAACUUUGAGAAGUAAAAAUAUUAGAGAGAUGAAUUUCCUUAGGGAAACAGCAAGCGCCAUGGAUUGCCAGAACUGCUUUCGUGCAGUCAGGAGCUGGUUUCGUCACAACACCAUCCUCAUCAAAUCCACCCUGUUCAUCUUAGGGCUGGUAUGGAGCACGAUGAUGGAGAAGACAUUUGUCAGGAUCUUAAUCACGCCGUUGCCCCACAGCGUUGAAGUUGUCUAAUGCAAGGGCAUGGACUACGUUGCUACAGUUCUGUCCAGUGGUCUCGUAACAGUCGGUUUUUUUUCCGAUGUUGAUAUCAUUGUUGACCGUGAGAUCGCAAAGAAUGAAGUCAAGACUAAUGCUCUGGCCGGCAAAGGUGAGUGAACAAUCCAGCAACUCCGUUGGCAUUAUAUUGAAAUAAUUGUUAUUCCUUGAUUGAUUUCAUUCCUAUGUUUGAUAACUACAAAUUAAUAUAGAAAUGAAAUGGAAUAAAAU